GGCUGAAAAGCUCAAUGGUAAGAGCAGUCGCCAGCAAGCGAAAGACUCGGGUUCGAUUCCCGAUUCAGCGA
This 71-nucleotide transfer RNA is filed under the name Camponotus floridanus (Florida carpenter ant). It matches the Rfam family "tRNA". From Rfam's summary of the family: Transfer RNA (tRNA) molecules are approximately 80 nucleotides in length. Their secondary structure includes four short double-helical elements and three loops (D, anti-codon, and T loops). The record is from Rfam by way of RNAcentral. Lineage: Eukaryota; Metazoa; Arthropoda; Insecta; Hymenoptera; Formicidae.